This 2203-nucleotide long non-coding RNA is filed under the name Phocoena sinus (vaquita). Its description in RNAcentral is "lncRNA (ENSPSNG00000003504.1)". The record is from RNAcentral. Lineage: Eukaryota; Metazoa; Chordata; Mammalia; Artiodactyla; Phocoenidae.
GUUUUCGUUUGUGUUUUUUUUCAGCUGUAUGAAAUGGGCUUUCUGAUGUUUAAAUAGUCCAACUUCACCCCUGGUGUUCUGUGCUUGCAGUGUGAGUGUUGCAGCCAGUGUCUCUUUUCUUAGCUUUCCGUUUUCCUUUCCACGUAGUGUGAAGUGUCUUAUCCUUUUCUAUGAAUUCCAAUUUGCCUUAACUCUUUUGAUGCUGUAGCUGUUUCAGUAAAAGUUAGUUCAAACUAAUGAUGUAGAAUGCUUUGACCAAAUGGGCUGGUCUAUUAUGCCUUGUUAAACAGCAGCAUAGGGCUUUUAAAAGGUAGUCAAUAAAAGUUGCUGAAAUUUUGGCUUUUUUAAAUAUGUAGUAGGUGUUUUUAAUGAUUUUUCACAUAAUGUGUAAGGUAGUGAAAUGCAAGAAGGGAAAACUGUUUUGUGUGAAACACAUUUUCUGACUGGGGAACUUUUAAUAGGGUAAAUUGUUUGUAAGGCUGUAUGCCAAGAGUUUCCUCUGAUAGUUUGACUGAUUUAGGAUAUCUGCUGUAUGAUGCAAUGUAAAGUCUUUUUUGCCUUUUUUCAGGAAAAAAAAAAACAACUAACUUGAUGUUCUAGAUUUAGUGUAGGUAGCGUAGGGGCAGGGGGUGGGGGGAGGGGUGGGAGUCACCGAAUGUUUUGUCCUUCCUUUAUACUAACGAUAGUGCUUUAGAAUGAGAAUGACGCCUGAGAUCUGGCAAACCGAAAAAAAACACAAAUGUUGCUAUUGCAACGAAAUGGCAAAAGCUAAAAGUAAGGAUUUAUCUUCAAACAUAAGCUGAGAUAUGAAUAGAAGCGAAACGAUUGGCUACUAGCUCUCUCUAUCACGUAAAUUUGAGAAACAAAAAUUACUUGGCACUUUUAAAGGUAACUUCACCAAAGACCGAAGAGCCAGUAACCAGUAGCUCCAGCUUGUCUCAGCAUCACAUCUUCUGUGCUCUUUAUUUUUGCCGGACCAGUUUGCGGUUAGGAGAAUGUGCCUUUUUUGUACCUUUGGAUUUAGGUUUUAUAAUUUUAAUUGAUGUAUGGACACACACAAACAAAAAAGCAUGAAGGAAGAUUUGGAUCCAAGCAGUGCCACACUUUACAUAAUCACUACAAGUGUUAAGUGUAAAGAAAAACCAAUUUUGAAACUAUGAAAUUCCUGAUUCAUAAAUACACAGUUAUUUCUACUUUAGUACAUAUAAGAUAAUUCACUGUUAUUAAAGCUCUUUUAUUAAGACAAUUGCAUACGUUUGAAAAGCAAUGGUAAAUUAAGUUGUCUUCCAAAACUGUGUACUUGUCUGGUCAACUGUGUGUGAUCAGUUAUCUACCUCAGAGUCUAUUUUCUUUUGUGCUGGGACAGGUUGCUGGCCCUCCCUGUUUCCACAGACCAAAUCCUUCCUAGCUCAGGAGCUAGGCCUAAGCAGUUAUUUCUUUCGAGUAUUUUUUAGUUCUUAAAAUUUAUGCUUGUGUUUGAUUAUAGAUGUCAGUGAUAUUUCAUAGUUUCAAAAGUCCUUGCUGCUCUGAGAAGUGUAGAUUCUAGUGAAAAUUACAUAGUCAUAAGAGAAGUGUGUUUUUGUUUUUGUUUUUGUUUCCUUUUUUAAAGUUGUGGUAUUAUUGGUUCUAUGCUCCCUGGAAUAUUACUGCUUUGUGAAAGUCCAGACUGAACGCAGCACCCUCUUUGUACCUAGUACAUUGUAAACCUGGGUCUCUCACUACUUGAUAUUUUUGCAUUAGUUAAGACAGAAAUUUGAUAACUCAGUUAGAGGGGAGGGGAAAUCUGCUGCUAGAAAUGUCUGAACUAAGUGCCAUACUCGUCUGGGUAAGAUUUGGGAAACAUAACCUCUGUACAUAAAAAAAGAAAAAAAAUCAGUUAAACAUCACAUAGUAGACAGCCAUUAAAUUAUAAAAAAAAUUAAUUUAUGAAGAAAGACCUUUUGUACAGAUUGAAAAAAAAAAGAUUUUCAUAGAGAUAUCUAUAUGAUCAAGAGAGUUAAUUUUUUAUUUUUGUUUUACUAGUGCCACAAACUUGCCAGUGGUAACUUAUUUGUCCGGUUCAAGAUAACUCUGUAGUUUUCUUUCCUAGGACUUGUUGUUAAACGCCAAAAAGACAUUUUUGAACUGUACAUUUGAUCAGAUUGUUAGCUUUUUCUGUUUUAUUUCUUUUGAGAACCUUUGAAUAAAAAACAUCUGAAAUUUU